CGCAACGGGGAAUACGGAACGGAGCAUGCGCUGAAAUGGGCGAUGGCUGAGAAUAUUUGAAGUGAAUCCACAGACAGGAAACUCCAACCAAACAUCACACAAGAAUCUGACAGAGUCAGUUGAAUCAUCAGACAUUGGGUAUAAUUGGCCUUUGGGUGAUGUGGGCAUCACUGGCCAGGCCAGGAUUCAUUACUCAUUCCUAUUUGACCAGAGGGCAAUGGAGAGUCAACCACAUUACUCAUAUGACAUGAAGUCAUAUGUAGGCCAGACCAGAUCUCCAACCUGGCAUAUCCACAAGAGAUGUGAUCCUGACAGUGAAUCUCGGAUCAUUCCCGAUGUAAACUUCACCACUGACUCCACUGAAGGUUGCAGGCUCAGGGAGUGGACUGUGAGGAAGCUCUUCAGUAUCCUGAUUUAUAUCUGGUGAGAAACCGUAGGAAUUCUUACUUAGGAACUUCUCUGUCAGUGUCGCUCUCGUAAUGAAAAGGGGAAAAGUUUCUUCCGGUUUACCACCUUUGUGACCUUCAUAUUUUUAUCCACCACAAUCAUGUGAUCCGUUAGUAUCUUCUGUUCCAAGAAAAUCAACACCAAUCUAUCCAAUCUGUAUUCAUAACAAAACCUCUCCAGUCCAGGCAACAUUCUGAGAAAUCUCCUCUGCAGUCAUAUGUGUACUGCAGAACUGCACACAAUACUCUCAAUGUGGCUUAACCAAUAUUUCAUGCGGUUCCAACAUAACCUUCUUGCUUUUAAAAUCUGUGCCUCAACUAAUAAAGGCAAGUAUCCAAUGUGCCUUUUUCACCACUUUCAUCUACCUGCUACUUUAAGGGAACAAUGGAUAUGCACAGCAAGGUCUCUCUAAGCCUUGGUGCCUCCCAGUCUUACUGCCCAUCUGGUAUUCUCCUGCCCAAGAACAUCACCUCAUAUUUAUGGGGAUUUUUGAAUUCCAGUUCCGCUGAUCAGCCCUUCUGACCAAAUGAUCUAUACUCCUGAAAGAAGGGUCUCGACCUGAAACGUCAAACUUCCCUGCUCCUCUGAUGCUGCUUGGCCUGCUGUGUUCAUCCAGCUUUACACCGUCUAUCUCAGGUUCUCCAGCAUCGGCAAUUCCCACUAUCUGAUGUAUACCCCUCUCUGAUUUAAGGCUGUGCUGCUCAUUUACCACUACACCAUUUCCGUAUCAUGUACAAACUUACUGAUUAACCCUCUCAUAUUAAAUUUUAAAUUGUUUAUAUAUGCUUUACAUUGCAAGGGCUUCAGUACUGAUCCCUGCAGAGCCUCAAUGGGUACAGGCAUUCAGUCAUCGUCCUCUGCUUCCUGCCACUUGGGCAUCGUGGAUUUAAUCUGACAAAUGUCCUUGUAUCAUUUGGAAUCUUACCUUCACUAUCAGUGUCUCGUGCAGGAUCUGAUUAAAAGAUUUGCUGAGGUUCAAGUAGACUACAUCAAAUGCAUUACUGUUGUCUACAUACAGAACCAAGGUAAGCAAAGAUAAGCUCAGUGGGGAUGGAACAGGUAGAGACAAUGGGUCAGCUGGGACAGUCACAUUAUGGAACAAUGAGGUUGAAGGCUACGAUAGCCUUACCAGUCCCCACUACUGGUACCCUUAUUGGAUGAGCCAAACUGGUCCGUACCCUAAACAACUUCAUCUUUAACUCCUCCCACCUCCUACAGACUAAGGGGCUGGCCAUGGGAACCUGCAUGGGCCCAAGCUAUGCCUAACUCUUUGCAGGAUACAUAGAACAGCCCCUCUUCCGUUGCUACACUGGCAUUAACUCCCACCUCUUCCUCUAUUACAUCGAUGCAUGCAUCAACGCUUCCUUGUGCACCCGUGAGGAGCUUGAACAGUUCAUCAACUUUACUAACACCUUUUACACCGACCUUAAGUUCACCUGGGCCUUCUCUGAUACUUUUCUCUUCUUACUAGAACUCCAUGUCUCAAUCUCUGGUAACCACCUUGAAACUGACAUCUAUUUCAAGCCCGCUGACUCUUACCAGAGUACACCUGACUACCAGACUACACCUCCUGUCACCCACCUUCCUGCAAGAAUGCAAUCCCCUGCAUUUCCUCUGUCUCCUCUGCAUCUGCUCCCAAAAUGGGGCUUUCCACUCCCGAACAUCCCAGCUAUCCUCUUAUUUCAAGGACCACAACUCCACCAACACCGCCCCCCCCACCAACUUCAGUGUUCGAAAAUGCUCUUGGCCGCAUCUCUUGCAUUUCCCGCACCUCUGCCUUCGCAUCCCCUCCUAACAAUAACAAAGACAGAAUCCCCCUUUUCCUCAUACAUCACCCCUACUAAUCUCCGUAUUCAAUAUAACAUUCUCUGCCACUUCUGCCACCUACAGUCUGACCCCACAACAAAAGAUAUACUUCCAUCUCCAUCCCAUCCCUAUCUCCAUUUCCUCAGGACUGCUCUCUCUGCGACUCCCUCAUCCACUCCACCUUCCCCAUGAGCUACACCAACCAAGGCACCUUUCGCUUAACCGCAGGAAGGGCUACACCUGCACCUACAUCUCCCCCACCCAAC
Long non-coding RNA from Stegostoma tigrinum, 2519 nucleotides. RefSeq lists it as uncharacterized. Lineage: Eukaryota; Metazoa; Chordata; Chondrichthyes; Orectolobiformes; Stegostomatidae. The record is from RefSeq and is a predicted model, not a curated record. The transcript has 4 exons.